CUCUAGGUAAACUGCAAUAAACCUGGGACUUGAUUCCUCUCUCUGGGUCUCUUCUUCAGGCUUACUGGACCAUCACCCACUCUAGGCAUAGAGUCUCGUGGGUUGCAGCUGCGCAUUGGCGUCCUAAUGAGAAAGGGGAAAUCCGGACAGAGACACACAGGGAGAACUCCAUAAGCAGAUGGAAGCAGAGAUUGGAGUCAUACAGCUGCAAGUCAAGGAGGACAGGUGACAUCAGAGGCUGGGAACGGUGAGCAGGGCUAGAAGUUGAAGAGAAGACAGCUUCUCCUGACAUCAGUUCCACACGUUCCUUCAUCUCACUGUUCUUUAAGAAGAAGUGACAGGCACUUUACUGAGACAACAUAAAGAGGACUGAAUGAGGAAAUAGAAUGUGAGUCCCCAAAAGACUGCCUGUCUUUUGGGCUGUGAUUUUGAAGUGGCUUGUGUAUUACCUGGCAAGACCACAAUAGGCUUUUGAAAAAGACAAGCAGACUCACAUUUGUUAAAGCUCUAAGUAGCUUGAAUCAAUGCUAGGCUGCCAAAGAUCAGCUAACUUUAGGCGAUACCCAGGGCCUUUUGCUUCAGAAGGUUUCCCUCUUAGGUGAAGAGUUUUAAAUAAAUCAUAGAAACAAAUCCUUCUUCAGUGUCUGCACACCACAUGCAGGACAUUGUUUUUGUCAUUCCGAGGUUUGCAAAGGAUGAUUCCUGCCUUUGAAAAGUCUAGAGUUUUGGCGGGAGUCAUAACAGAUAUUGCCAUAAAAUAUUUCAACCACUUGACUUCAAAUGUUUUGAAGACAAUCCCAAAAUCAUGAUAGCUUCAAAUUAUGCCAGCCAGGCCA
This 836-nucleotide long non-coding RNA is filed under the name Mustela putorius furo (domestic ferret). RNAcentral's name for it is "lncRNA (ENSMPUG00000028672.1)". Lineage: Eukaryota; Metazoa; Chordata; Mammalia; Carnivora; Mustelidae. The record is from RNAcentral.